UGACUUGGCUAAGGCAUAAACUUUUCCUAGAUAUAGAUCUGAAAAUUGAGACUUUGAGAGUAAGAGACUGAGACAAAGAGACGACGACGACACUAGACUUCGAUAGUUUGAUCGAUCGACCACGCCGACUGUGAAGCUUCUUCUCUUCGUCCCGAAUCCACAUUCUCAUUCUGUGAGACCAAUUUCUCUUUGGAAUCUGGGUAAUUUUCUCUCUAUAUAUAUAAUAUAUCUCAGUGUUGAAUACGGGUAGAAGGUUUGAGUUACUAUAAUAUAUCUCAGUGUUGUAGUUUUUUUCCUUUAUAUGAUUUUUCUGGUCAUUAUAUAAAAGUAAACUACAAUUUUGUUGAUAUGUUUUUGUUUUCUUCUUUAUUUCGGCUAUAUAUUGUAACUAUUGUUUGAAGACAGUAAGUUCCAUCCAUUUAUGUUAGUUGUUGCUUGUGCCCUUCUCUACUAAAUAUGAUAUUUUGUACUAACGUGUAAUAAUAUGAUGUUAUUCUCAAUCUCAUGCUGUAUACUAUACAAGGACUAGAAUAUUUUUUUCAUUUUUUUUGAAAGAAAAAAAAUAAUGUUUGAUACUGUAUUUAGGAAGCUGCACAUUUUUUGAAAUUACACUGCUUUCUUAUCAUUGUUCUUUGUAUAUAUAAUACGAACUUGGUGAUGUUUGAGAUUGGAAUAUGCAUUUUUCCUGAAUUUACCUUUAACCUUUCUAUGAUUCUUAUGAUCACUUUAUAAAUGAAAUGACCUCCAAAAUGGGAAUAUAUUAGAACACUCAGUUUGUUAUUAGCUUCUAGAAGUAGCAGGCCAUGCAACUGCAUCAUAGCAGUUAGUGGGUAGAGAGCUUUGUGUUCUUUUCCAAAGUAUCUGUUACUCUGUAUCAGCCUUGGCCUUAGAUAAUCCUUUAUAUAUCUUGUAUCUAGCUCUAUGAGAAGUCAUGUAUAUGAAAUGAAUCGAAUCUAGAGAUCACUCUUUUGAGGCAAUCUCUGUCUUAUUUUUCAAUUUUUUCUGUCCUGUUCUUGCCUAUCUCACCUCAACUUUAAUCUAUUUAUUUUCUUCUUCCGAAAAUUGAAUUAGUCAAGCUCCAUCAAGGCUUGACAGAAGACAUUAUGUAUAAAUUUUCCUAUUGAAAUGAAAGUUAGACAGCCUUUCCCCCCUUUUUAUGUGGAUUUAUCAUUAGAGUGAAACUAGCUUUCUGAAAAACUUUUCUUGAAAAUGUUUAUUGAUUUCUAAUAUGAUUUAUUGAUUUUUGGAUGUCAUAGACUCAUAGAUUUGGUUUUGGUUUUUUGUUUGUAGAGUUCUUAUGGAUCAGGUAACAAUUGAUUUGAUUGAUGGGGGAGUUGAAAGCUCGGACAAUUUGACACAACCAAUUGACAGUUCGAAGAGAAAACGAAGGGAAGAAAGUUCAAUUUGGAAUCAAUAUGAAAAAAAGG
RNAcentral lists this long non-coding RNA (1427 nucleotides) under Panax ginseng (ginseng). RNAcentral describes it as "long non-coding RNA (PGIN_LNC012600)". Lineage: Eukaryota; Viridiplantae; Streptophyta; Magnoliopsida; Apiales; Araliaceae. The record is from RNAcentral.